Molecule: long non-coding RNA, 1372 nt
Filed under: Manihot esculenta (cassava)
Lineage: Eukaryota; Viridiplantae; Streptophyta; Magnoliopsida; Malpighiales; Euphorbiaceae
Description: long non-coding RNA (MESC_LNC000139)
Source: RNAcentral
ACAGAGCUAGUAGCCACUUGAACAAGUGACUAACUGAGUAACUGGGGGUGUAUCACCCAUGUACACAAUCGCGUAAAAAGGUUAGUGACUUUUUCAGGCAAGGAUAAGAAUAAGUGCUGCUAAAAAUAAAAAGAAAGAGAGAAGAAAAGGGGCAAGUCACUCCUAGGGGUUGCAUUAAAACUAACAUAAAGGAAUAAGCAUGAUUGAUUCAAAAACCUUUCUCUUGACCAUGGUAGGUGAAAGGAAACAAGGAAAGGAGAGGAUGACCUUAGUGCAUGUACUCUAUAAUGUGAUAAUUCAGAUUAGGAGUCUAGGGGGGGCUGAUUAAGUGGUACUUAGGCUCUAAGGAAAAAGGGGACUUGAUUGGCUAAGUUAUUUGUUGCUUGAGGACAAGCAAAAAGCUAGGUGUGGGGGUAUUUGACCAAGCAUAAUUUAGCCAUGUUUUUAAUAUAUUAUUUACUGUUUAUUUACAUAUUUUUCUAACUUAAAUUGUGUUUUUGUUAUGUUUUUAUAGAAAAGGAAGAAAUUGAAGAGUUGGAGAAAAAGUGCAGAAAAUGACAGCAAAAGUGAUUUGCCCAGUGAUUAGCCCAACUCACUCUCAGAAAAACUGGGCAAAUCACCUUGACAGCAGAACUACAGAGACAGAAACUGGACUGAAUCCCAGAGAGCAAUUUGCCCAGUGAUUUGCCCAAAUCACUCUCAGAAAAACUGGGCAAAUCACCUUGACAGCAGAACUUGACAGCAGAGGCGGGAAAACAGCUGGAAACUGAAUUUUGAGUUUUCAGAAGUCCAAAUCCAACUCAAUCACUACCAAAUCAAUUCCAAGAGCCACGAAAGAGUUUCUCUCUUAAGGAAUUCCAGUUGCAAUUAAAUUCAACAUCAAAAGAGGAAUCACAAGCCAAAUUAAAAAGGGAUUUCAAAACCCUAGAAGGAGAGAUUUCUUCAGCUAUAAAAGGGGCAACCUCCAAACCAGCAAAGCAUCUUCUGCUGAGGAAUUGAACUCGCCAAAAACUCUCCAGCAUCUUUUCUUUUUCUUUCUUUUCAUCUUUUGUGUAUUUUAGUCACCAUGAGUGGCUAAACUCAUUCUUUUCUAGUUGAAGUUGAGAAUAUUCAGAUUUGUGAUGAAUUGGGAGGUUUAAUACUCCAUUGUUGAACUCUUGUUUGUUUCAAUAUUUAUGCAAUUUGAUCUUUUCUAUAAAUAUUACUUUGCCUUUAGAAUCAAUAAGGGCCCAUUGCUUUUAAAUUGCUUAGUAAUAUUGUUUGAAUGGUUUAGGUCCGUAAUUGCUUUGAUUGUUCAAAUUCACAUUUAAUCAGGUUGCAUAAUCUAAACUUGACCACGCGGUUGGCAAGGAUAGAAUUGGGUUUCUCNNNN